Molecule: long non-coding RNA, 515 nt
Organism: Oncorhynchus tshawytscha (Chinook salmon)
Lineage: Eukaryota; Metazoa; Chordata; Actinopteri; Salmoniformes; Salmonidae
Source: Ensembl
AGGACUUCCAGCCACCAGCUUGUCCUGCCUGUGUUACCUGACCCAACCAGAGAUUCAGACACACCCACUGUCUGUAGCAGCGUGCCAAUCCCUGGUACCCUGUGAUCCCACGGCACUGAACUUCCAUCCAGUUGGAAUAUGCAUUAUGGAUGGGAACCAAGAAGACGUCAUGUCGCAAGGUGAAUCAACCACAAGGAAAAGAGACUGAAGAUAAAGGUCUGUAACAUGGAGGCACUUCAAUGACGGUGCUCUGACAUGUGACUUUGGCUCACAGCACCUUGUAGCAUGUAUACACCAUGGACUUCCAGAACAAUAGGCAGCCCAACAUACAAUACAAAUGGCAUCACGGGAAGAGGAUUUUGGCUGGCGGAGUGAGCGCAGGAAUGGCGUCGGACAGACAGUGUGACCCAGGGCUCAGGUGGCAGCUGUGCUACGACUUCUCUGCCAGGUCAUGGUGGAUGGUAGGGAUUCUCCCUGUCUAUCUCUAUUGCUUUCUCCAUCACUCUCGCUUUCUU